Molecule: long non-coding RNA, 4244 nt
Organism: Oxyura jamaicensis (ruddy duck)
Lineage: Eukaryota; Metazoa; Chordata; Aves; Anseriformes; Anatidae
Exons: 3
Source: RefSeq, a predicted model, not a curated record
GCUGAAGGGGCUCGGCGGAACCCCGGGAAGGGGAAGAGGAGCCCCGGGGGCAGCUCCGAUGCCACGGGGGUUGGGUUCCCGGCUGCGAGCGCUCCUCUUAGCCUGCCCGGGACGCUGGGGUGGCGGGGAGGCAGUUGGUGGGGUCUGCAGUGACGGCGUUGGGCGUUGAGGUGUUUCUGAAAGCCUCUCUGGAUCUUCGUGUGCCUAAGAGCUCUGUAAAUCCUUCUUCCCUCGUAGGUCUCUCAGCGGUGUAAUAGGGUUGACUCUCCUCGUCAUACCUGAGCCUAACCUUCUGAUCCGGGCUGCUCCCUUCAUGAGGUGUGGCUGCAGCUUUGGCUCGUCCCUGUAGGCUGCACUUUGCUUCAGGAGCGGUUACCCUUCCUGUCAGAGCAAUGCUUUUGGCCUGUCAGCUGCACGUUAUGAAUGCAAUUCUUGCCAUUUUGCUGCAGCAUUUUAAUGGGGCUUUCAGUGGUUUCGGGCACAGCGCUUGAGAACUUGUUUCUGUCAAGUUGUCUUUGUCUGUUUUAUUUUCUUUUGCUCUUUGUGUCUUGUUCUGCAUGUGCUUCUUCACCUUGCAGUUUUGUUCAGUGUCUCAAUGCGCAUGGCCUGAAUGUCUAAGUAACUAUUGGUGCCAGUGUGCUGGUCUUUUGUUGUUUUCUCUUGGGGGGUGGGGGUGGUGGUGUCAGUUUCUCACCCACUAAUACAGGAGGUAGAUUGCCGAUCAGUUUCAAAGAGCCUUUGCAGGGUAGAUUCUUGUUGACAAGUGCAAUAGUGGACUCCAUGCUGGUAGGACUUGAAAGCAGAAAAACAAUUACAGUCGUGUUCAAACAAGUGAUGCCUGAAUUCUCAAUAAAUAGUACAUAGAGUCAUAUAACAGAGCCUUUUUCAGAGCCUCUUAAGGAGAUUCUUGAAAAUGUGGUGCCAGUUUAUUUUACACUAUUUUGAAAGGCUAUCAAAUAGAAGCGACUAGCAUACAUUCUGUAUACCUCAACCCUGUAUACAUACCUUUGUAUGUAGCUUUACCAAUAAUGCUUAGGAUAAUAUAAUCUCUGAAUUCUGAUUCCUUUUACCUUAAAGCUGAUGUGAUAUUUUGUUGUAGCACAUCUGAGGAAGUAUGUGGAUUUUGUCCAUGCUGGAUUUGUACAAUGGACAUUAAAAUAGACUCUGCCACCUUUGCACAUUUUUAUCCAAAUCUUUAUUCCUACCAUUGCUAUAGUUAAGUUGAAGGACUCCUUCCGGUUUAUUUCUACCUGGAUAUAACAUCAACUGAAAGCUGAAUAUAGCUGGUGACACAUUCAUAUCUGUGAUGCUCACUCUGAUUUUGAGAUGCAUGCCUGGGUGGAAGUCUGAGUGCAGUUUAAGUACUUUUACAUUUCAUUACAUGCUCCUUCAGUGUUGUCUGCUUCUCUUAGAACACUGGACUUUUGGAACAGUUCUUUUAUAUUUCUUUCCAAGUGACAAAACUACUGCCAGAGGUUGAUGAUGAAUAUAUCUUGUCUAGACAAUGUUAUCUGUUUAUGUGGUGGCAGGCUGAUGUUCGGGAUGAUGAUAGCUACACAGACUUGUAGGUGCCAAAAUACAAUUACGCUAUAAUGUAUAUUUCUGGUCCAGAGGAACAAUUGAGUAGCAGUCUUAAUGGCAAUAACUGGCAUUCUCCAAAUUCUGUUUACAGAACUGCUAAGACAUCUAAGUACCAUGCGUAUCUGAGCAGUUGGCUUGAUUCCUCCUGGCUUCCUGAAAACCAACUUCCAGGAAGGCUUGCAACACCGAAUGGAAAAUGUUUGUGUAAAGGAAAAAAAGACAAGGAUCCUGGAUUCUCAGACAUAAGUAUGAGUAAUAAUAAAGCCUAGGAAUCUAAAUGCAUUGAAUGAUAAUAUAGACCUUCUGGGAAACAAAAGAAAACUGCUUCUGGCAGAAAUAGGUAAGUAAUGACAGAGGUUAGUAGCAGAGGGGGAAUGAAGUCAAAAACUUUGAGUGGUACACCUGACAACUCUUUUUGCAUGUUAUAUUUCUCUAAUUGAGAAGUUUCCCAAUGGUUUGUGCAAAGGCCUGUCAGUGUCUUUAGCAAUAUGUCUCUUCUAAGUCUGGCAGCAGAUUCUUUGUUGUGGUGUUAGGCUACUAUUCAGCAUGGACAGGACAGUGGUCAACAGGUAGUGUCUCUGCUGCAGCUGUGCCUUUUUCUCACACUUUCUUUUUCUCAGGAGUUUGCCCAAGGACUGAGUACCAUGUCCAGUUUCAGUUCUACGUACUCAGGCUGAAUAUGUGGACAUUGUUUUUCUGACUGUCCCCUGCAGUAGAAAAAGGGACUGAAAGGUGGCUAAAUUAAUAUUCAUGUUUCUGUGUGUUGGGCAGUGAUAGGCAGGCAUGUAGUGGCCUGCUUCUGCUAGUCAGAUGUGUUAUCUGCAGUAUACAGUCAUCAGUAACCUGUGAAAAACAGUGUAACUAAUUUAAGUUACUGUGUAUCAUGCUUCAUGAGCUGCUUCCUGUAGGUGUUUGAUCACAGGCCAUUGAAAGUCACAUGAAAGCUGUGAUACAACAGGUGUAGCUCAUUUUAAAAAGACACUCAUACUGAGUGAUAUAUAAAGUUUUUAGGUGUGAAGAGAUGAACACUUACAAUGAAGUAUUUAUUAGAAGACAUCAGCUGCUAUAAUAGUUGGUGAGAUUUAUAUUCAGAGUACCAUCUAGAUCAGCAAAGUGAAUUUGGAUGUUAGUGCUAUCUUUGUGAAUUACUGUGUAUGAGAGAGUAGGUAGGAACAGUGCUCAAUGAGGUUGAUUAAUUAAGCUAGGCUUCUUAUGAGGCAUGAAAGUUUGAAGUUUUGAAAUGGAAAAAUACCAAAGGCUUGGAAGUGGCUUUGUGAUUCUAGGCUGUUGCAGAUAAUUGAUGGACCAAACUAAUUUUAACUUUAAAUAGGAGAUACGAAAAUAGUUGUGGUUCAUUGCUAGUUAAUUCUUUUCCAUGCCAUCAAAAAAUAUCUUUUUCCACAAGGACAAAUAGCAAUGGCUGUGCUUUUAUGUUAAUAUUUCUGAAAAAUCUCUGAGGUGGUUUGUACCACCUAGACAUCAUUUAGUGAUUAUUCUAGAGGUUAUUUAGUGAUGUGACAAUGAGUCCUUAGCUACGUCAGACUGAAGAACUGAUUGGCAAAUAAGGUGUUGAUGCUGAUGCAAGAGCCUACUUUUAAUUUAAUCUUAAGAAUUAUUUGACUGUCAGUUAGAUUUGAGGACAAUAAACUGUAGGGAGAAGAAUAAGAACAAAUCUGCUUUCAUUAUUUUAAUUACAGCUGAAGUCUGCAUAGAAUGGCGAGAUAACAUUUUCCUAAAUUGAUAUGUACUUAUUGCUGAUUGUAGUUGGAUAUAUUUGAAAUGUGUUAUCUAGUACUGUGAGAAGGUUUUUGUUAGCUUGCAAAUAAAUGCAGUAUCAUAUCAACUGUUUUGAAGUUAUUUUGUGUCUCUUUAAGGUAUUUGAAUACUGUGAUUGUAGGCAGAAGAUAUUCAAAAUUCUGUGUACUGUUGCCAAAACUUGGUCUCAUAGUUCUUUCCAGUUGAAUUUUUCCUCAUGAAAUGUUUGCCAAAAUGAGCUGCUAGAAUUAAUUUAUCUUGAGGUGGGGUUUCAGGGAAGGCUGGAAUUGCAUUACUUUAAAUUUUGAUAUACUUUUAUGUUAAAUAUGCCUUAUGUUCUCUUAUGCAUUUUAUUUAUUGCUGAGCGUAGGACAGUAUGUAUUUAUUUUUUAAGUUUCUGAGGAACACAGACCUACAGUCAACUUCUUUGCACUAGGCUUACCCUUUUUUUUCAAAACUUUAACAACACUGUCCUGUGUUACAGUACUUGAGUUCAAUACGUGUGUAUAGAGAGAAAUAAACUGGAAAUCCUGUCUCUGAGGAUUGGAAUCCAGUGUAGUUUUAGAUGGAAAAUAAAAUAUUUUAGUAUACAUUUGCCAGUUAAGCUUUUAACAGGACUUUACAUGGGUGCAACUUCUGAAUUGGAAUUAAUGUAGAGUUUCUAAAUACUUUUCCAUGUGAUAUACAUGCCAUAGUUGACUUGAAUAUGGAUUUGUAAGCUGCUGAAGUGAAAAUCAGUAUCUGGGCAUGACUGACUAUAGAUUGAAGGGAAAUAGCAAAUAGUUUGAAAUGCUGGUUAUCUGUGAAGACUUCUGCUCUGUGAUGUGCGCUGCUGAUGGGUGUUUAAGUUUUUGUCCUGUUUCUGUCUGUUACGUGGGAAACUUUAAAUAGUUUGAUUUAUGCCUUUU